RNAcentral lists this unclassified non-coding RNA (412 nucleotides) under Hevea brasiliensis (rubber tree). The record is from RNAcentral. Lineage: Eukaryota; Viridiplantae; Streptophyta; Magnoliopsida; Malpighiales; Euphorbiaceae.
GUUUCUUCAAGGUUAUUGCACGCAUUUUCAUUUAUAAGCACAACAAUUUGUGUUCUUGCCCUUAGUGUAUUAUUAACCAAAGAUUAUGGUUCUUAAUUAAGUGUAUGAAACUUCAAGUUCCUGGUCAUUAUCUUUAGUGAUAGUUUUAUUUGAUUUGUUUAGGCAUACUUAAUUUCUGGUUACCUUGUACAGGUAGCUACCAUGUCUACGACUGAAUUCUUUGUUUUGUUUGAUAUAUUGUUCAAUGACUACAGUGACAUUAUAGGAAUGCAAUAAUGACUGGAGCCCUUUUUUUUCUUUGAGUAGAUUAACAUUUAUAGCAACACGUGAACUAUUGUUUUCCCUUUGAUAUGUAAUAAUCAUCCGUAACUUGCCUCUUUUCUUUGUGCCUUAGGGUUUUGGCCAAGUGGUG